RNAcentral lists this ribosomal RNA (497 nucleotides) under uncultured bacterium. RNAcentral describes it as "partial 16S ribosomal RNA". It matches the Rfam family "Bacterial small subunit ribosomal RNA", at positions 28 to 507 of the family's 1533-position model. The record is from RNAcentral.
GAUGAACGCUGGCGGCGUGCCUAAUACAUGCAAGUCGAGCGAACAGACGCGGAGCUUGCUCCUCUGACGUUAGCGGCGGACGGGUGAGUAACACGUGGAUCCCCUACCUAUAAGACUGGUAUAACUUCGGGAAACCGGCGAUAAUCCCGGAUAAUCUCUUGAACCGAAUGGUUCAAUAGUGAAAGACGGUUUUGCUGUCACUUAUAGAUGGAUCCCCGCCGCAUUAGCUAGUUGGUAAGGUCACAGCUUAUCCAGGCGACUAUGCGUAGCCGACCGGAGAGAGGGAUCGGCCACACUGGAGCGGAAACGCGGUCCAGACGCCUACGGUAGGCAGCAGUAUGGAAUGUUCCGCAAUGGGCGAAAGCCUUACGGAGCAACGCCACGUGAGUGAUGAAGGUCUCCGGAUCGUAAUACUCUGUUACGAGUUAAAAACAAAUUUGUAAUUAACUAUGCACGUCUUGACGGUACUGAAUCAGAAAGCCACGGCUAACUACGUG